UGUUCGACGGCAACAUGUACACGACGUUUUGCCGCCAUGAGCUUCGCUGCUCGCUUCUCUCUGUCCGACAGGGCCGAGCUCUAUGCGUGAAAAGUGGACGACCUUUUCCACCUCGAUACAUCUCGAUACGAUCGAUAGUUUCAGAAAUAAAAAUUUCCAAGUACAUAUCACGCAUUUUUGCAAAAAUUGACAAAAAUAGUAAAUGCAGGGCCCUGUAUUUUUCAAACAAAUUCGGAAUUAGCAAAAAAUAAUGACUUAAGCCCCCCUUAAUAUCAUGUGAACUACAUCAUAUUUUAGUUUCAACAAAAUCCCAAACAUCAAGGGAAAAAAGUGAUCGGUUUUAACGUGGAAUGACACCGUUGAUCUUUUGUUUUCUUACUGCGUGAAGUACCUGUAUUCCAAUUUUAAAGUUCACAGAGAAAGUUAGGUUACCCCCAUUGUUUUACUGGGUAUCCAAUAUGCAGUGGAUCCUGUCUCAACAGUGAAUCAUCAGUCAAUUAGGGCAAAGAAAACUUUUAUAUCGACACUCGCUAACGAAUCCAGUUGCGUCCUGGAGAUGUGGAGGAGGACUAACUAACUAUCUUCUACUCCGCCACUUGGAGCAAAUUCUGAGCAGAAUUCCUGGGUCAGAAAACUGAGAGGCCUGCCUGAAAGUUACAUUAUACAUAUAUAAUUUCUGCAUAAAGUUAUAUCAGAUAACCCACACAUGGUUAGAUCGUAAUCAGAUUCUGUACAUUAGAGAACGAUCGGUGUGAAAAUAAUCUUAUAAUUCUAUGGAGUUUUUUUAGUUGUACGAUCUGUUGUUGAGAUUGUGGAUCAAGAAUCUAUUUUAUUUUCAGUGCGUAGAAAACUUCACGAAUAAUUCGAAAUGAAUCAGCAGGUGAAAGACUUUGCAGUGAAAUAUCAUCAAUUUUUUUAUGAACUUCUUCCUGACUGGUUCUUAUACGGUUACACAGAUCGUACUUAUAUAUAUGAAAGAAUUGGAUUUGCACUAUAUGGCCCCCCUGACUAUGAUGAACAUAAAGAACUUAAUAACGAUAAUGCUGAUUUAUGCACGUUUAAAGGAUAUAAUAAAGAUGCAUGUAAAACCAUUACCAAAAUAUAUAAAAAGAUACUCCAGUCUAACGGAGGCAAUAAUUUCAUUCAAGUUGGUAUCAUAUAUAUUGUGGUAUUUGAUCACGAACAACCAAAAAAUUUAACAAAUAGUUCUGAUAACUGCUUGAAUAGGACAUUUGUAUUACCUAUUUUCAAAUUAAAAUUAAAAGAUACUAUAUUGUAUAUUGAUAAUGAUGCCAGAGUAUAUAAAAACUGGGAAGAUUAUUUGGAGAAUAAUACACUGCCAAAAUGUAUGAUGAUUAUACCAAAAGAAGGAAUCUAUCAAUGCAAUCCAUAUCUUCCAGUUACCAAGUGGUCUUCGACUGUAUGGAUUCAGAUCUUACCAUCGCCUUCCUGUAAGGCUGUCAAAGCUGUCCUCAAAGUAGUUGACAUUUCUUCCAGUGUUGUAGGUAUUGGUUCAACUAUAGGACUUGGAGUGGCAUCGUUGCUUACUCCUGUUGGACCUAUAUUAGCUGGUGCAAGUUUAAUUGGCUGCGCUGUAAGCGGAGCAUGGAACAUUGGACGAAGCAUAGGGAGAUUAGUAGAUCGAUCUAACCACGUAGAAUCUAUAAGUCCCACUAAUGGCGAUGCCUUGUCUGCAUAUUUUGGAAUAGCCAGUUCGGCUUUAGCUAUUGGUACAAAUGGUGGAGCCAUGCUUAUGACGAAAGCUAUCGCCAGAGGGGCUCGUAUUGGUGACAUAGCCAAAGUGACCUUCAAUUCAGUGGUAAUAAGUAAUCUUGCAGUUAGUGGAUGUGGCAUAGCUUUCGAAGGAUACCGUUUAAUUGAUCAGUACCAAACGCAGAAGAAAGUCAACAUUCUCGACGUGAUGUUGUUCAGUUCGCACAUUCUAUUUUUCAGCAACUCUUUAAUAAAGAGCAAACUUGCUAGCGAGCUUAUAGGAGCAUCCAGAGGCACUGUCCUUGAGAAAUUCAAGAACUUCUUACGUUCCGACCGCUUUGAGCAAGAAUACGCCAGAGUUCUUGGCAAUAAGAGUAGUUCUACAGGGAUAAUACACAAUCUUAAGAAAAUUACCAGUGGAACCGAGUUUCUGAACACUUUCAGCAAAAUAGCUAGAAAUAAAAGUUACCAGUCAAUCUUCUUCGAUGGCAUGGUCUUACUGAAUGGCAUCACUCUGUUAGAUCCUUUUGUAGUGGCACAAGAAUUGUUAACCAGUGGCGUGAUAUCUCUUGUAAAUCCUGAAUCAUCACCACUCAAUAAGCAGAUAGUGGCUGGAUUGACAACUUCGGUCAAGGAUUUAUUGAGAGAAUUCUAUUGGGAUAAACCGUCUACGUCGAAGACACAAUCUUAUGACGUUAAGCAGUUUAGUAGUAUGUUUAAUGAAAUGGCCUUUAUGGAUAAUGCUAUGUCAAUUCUUAGAAUGAUGUUCAAAGUUGCCACAAAAGUGGUGCAGAAUAACUUUGAUCCUGCGAGUUGCCUAUCGGAUGCUAUUAAGUUUUUGUGGGAGUAUUCCAAGGCGAAUCUAAGAGGAAGUGCCACUAAGGCAUGUGCUCCUUUGAAAGGCAAUCCUUUCCUGUACGACUUAUUAACUAAAAUUAUUGAAAAUCUGUUCGAUUUUGUUGAUGAUAUUGUUUGUGACCUACAUUUGGGAUUUUCUUCGUACAUGAUGCACAGUAUAAAGGCUACUUGAAUUAACCAUAGAGACACUAUUAUCUAUAAGAUAAUUAUUGUUAUACAGUAUUUUUAUACUUACAAAAGAUAAUUCUGUUGACAAAUUCUUUUACUUCCACCAGAGGUGAACAGAGAGAUUACUAACGUCCUGGUUUUGAUGGUUCCUCCUUGACUCAACGAAACUCACCAAACAACGUAUUGCAGGGAUUAUUUUAGGAAAUCCUACGAGGCUCUGUGGUAAAACAAAUCUAACACUCACGAUUUCAAUAACAGUAGCAGUAACAGUUCAUUUACAAAAUAAUGAACGAAUAAAGAACGAAUAACAACUACGACAACAAUAACGACAAUGACUUCGAUAUCUUUUUUAUUCUAUUAUAUAUAUAUAUUUUUUAUUACAUAUUUAUAUAUUUUUUAUUCUAGCACUA
This is an RNA transcript of Megalopta genalis, 3149 nucleotides long. RefSeq lists it as uncharacterized. The record is from RefSeq and is a predicted model, not a curated record. Lineage: Eukaryota; Metazoa; Arthropoda; Insecta; Hymenoptera; Halictidae.